AUUGAACGCUGGCGGCAUGCCUUACACAUGCAAGUCGAACGGCAGCGCGGGAGCUUGCUCCUGGCGGCGAGUGGCGAACGGGUGAGUAAUACAUCGGAACGUGUCCGUUUGUGGGGGACAACCAGCCGAAAGGUUGGCUAAUACCGCAUAAGACCUGAGGGUGAAAGCCGGGGACCGCAAGGCCUGGCGCAGACGGAGCGGCCGAUGAUUGAUUAGCUUGUUGGCGGGGUAAAGGCCCACCAAGGCGACAAUCAAUAGCUGGUCUGAGAGGGCGGACAGGCACAACGGGACUGAGACCAGGGCCAGGCUCCCACGGGAGGCAGCAGGUGGGGAUUUUUGACAAUGGGGGGAACCCUGAACCCGCCAUGCCGGGGGCGGGAAGAAGGCCUUCGGGUUGUAAACCGCUUUUGUCAGGGACGAAAAGGGACGGGUUAAGAGCUAGUUCCGCUGACGGUACCUGAAGAAUAAGCACCGGCUAACUACGUGCCAGCCGCCGCCGUAA
RNAcentral lists this ribosomal RNA (502 nucleotides) under uncultured bacterium. Its description in RNAcentral is "partial 16S ribosomal RNA". It matches the Rfam family "Bacterial small subunit ribosomal RNA", at positions 29 to 523 of the family's 1533-position model. The record is from RNAcentral.